GGACGCUUAGCUCAGUUGGUUCAGAGCACUGCGUUUACACCGCAGGGGUCGUAGGUUCGAAUCCUACAGCGUCCA
RNAcentral lists this transfer RNA (75 nucleotides) under Fidelibacterota bacterium. Its description in RNAcentral is "tRNA-Val". It matches the Rfam family "tRNA". Rfam says of the family: Transfer RNA (tRNA) molecules are approximately 80 nucleotides in length. Their secondary structure includes four short double-helical elements and three loops (D, anti-codon, and T loops). The record is from RNAcentral. Lineage: Bacteria; Pseudomonadati; Fidelibacterota.